GUGACCUUUUAAGGUAGACACUGUUUUUUAAGAGGCUAACACAGAAUGGUAAAGUAAGUCUCCAUAAAACCCAGAGAAGAGACAGAAGAGACUGUGAAACUCCUCUUUGGACGCCGUCUGGAGUCAUAGCA
RNAcentral lists this small nucleolar RNA (131 nucleotides) under Cebus imitator (Panamanian white-faced capuchin). RNAcentral describes it as "Small nucleolar RNA SNORA26 (ENSCCAG00000010262.1)". It matches the Rfam family "Small nucleolar RNA SNORA26". Rfam says of the family: The snoRNA HBI-6 belong to the H/ACA family of snoRNAs, guiding the pseudouridylation of position U4522 if the 28S rRNA. Lineage: Eukaryota; Metazoa; Chordata; Mammalia; Primates; Cebidae. The record is from Rfam by way of RNAcentral.